GGGGUUGUGGCUCAGCGGUAGAGCACUCACCUAGCAUGUGCAAAGCCCUGGGUUCAAUCCUCAGCACCACA
Molecule: transfer RNA, 71 nt
Filed under: Marmota monax (woodchuck)
Lineage: Eukaryota; Metazoa; Chordata; Mammalia; Rodentia; Sciuridae
Description: tRNA.Ala
Rfam family: tRNA
About the family: Transfer RNA (tRNA) molecules are approximately 80 nucleotides in length. Their secondary structure includes four short double-helical elements and three loops (D, anti-codon, and T loops).
Source: RNAcentral